Molecule: unclassified non-coding RNA, 9176 nt
Filed under: Rhipicephalus microplus (southern cattle tick)
Lineage: Eukaryota; Metazoa; Arthropoda; Arachnida; Ixodida; Ixodidae
Description: neural-cadherin-like, transcript variant X8
Source: RNAcentral
CGCCGCCGCCGCUGCCGUUGUCUAUUGAGUCGGCUUGGCGUGGUUCGGUGGUGUUUGGUGUUGGGAGCAAAUGCGCGCGUUUAAAUUUCUAUGGAUCUAAUCUCCGUUUGGAAAGGUUCGACGGUGACGGAGGAGCGACGCCUUUGCAAGUCUCGGUGGAACGCCGCCUGAAGCCGGCUUUCCGGUAGACCGUGCGCCCGGGGAUACGCUUCGCGAUGGCGCUUCCCCCAAGACUGAUCUGUGCCGUAGUCGUACUGGUCGCGCUUUGGGUACCCAGUCACAGCAAGACGAGUUCAGACAAGGUGCUGGUCCUACCGGAUGACGUCUACCCUGGCCUUAGCGUGAAACAGCUUCCCUACCUGGGUCAGUCCUUUAGCCUGACCGGAGAACCCCGAGUAGCCCGUUGCUUCAGCAUGCUUAGCGACGGUCUGCUCAUGGUCGCCACCAACGUGUCCCAUUUGGUCGGGAAGCCGGGCAAGUUGGUUGUGACCGAGACAGACUUUCCGAGUUGGCCGCGCACGCAUCGAGAUCGCGAGCUGCUCGUGCACGUAAUUCCCAAGCAGCAGCUUCUCAAGUUUCCCAAGUCCGAGCUCCGGGGUGCCGUGCUCGAGAACGAGUGCGCCGGGACGACGGUGCUCGAGUUGGACGGUGCUACGCGGGACGCCAGCCGCGGCGUCAAGUACGAACUUGUGCCCGACGAGGACGGCAGCCACGAGGACUUCAGCGUGUCCCGGUUGUACGCCAACUCUACGCGGCUGGCUCUUCGCACCAGCCGGCCGUUGGAUCGCGAACGUCGCCGCCGCUACGAGCUGAAUCUUCGGGCCUCCGACGACGUUGACUCGGCGCUGACGCGCCUCUUGAUUGACGUGCUGGACGUGAACGACAACGACCCGGUGGCGGACAGGGAAGCGUACGUGUUUCGCGUUUCCCGCGACUCUGAGCCGUUCACCAUCGUGGGCAACGUGAGCGCUUCGGACGCGGACGGCGACAGCGUCAGCUUUCGCCUGGCCGAGCGCCACCCGUUCUUCACCGUGGUGCCCAAGACGGGCGAGCUCAUGGUCACGCGCGGCCUCGAGCCCAAGUCGUACCUGAUGAGCUUGCGUGUGGGCGACCGCGGCAAGCCACAGCGAUUCGGACGCGCUGUCGCCGUCAAGGUGGAGGUGUUCGAGCCGCCCACGCCGCGCAGCCUGGAAACUUCGCAGACGCGCGUGCGUCGCUCCACGGUCACGAUACGGCCGACCAAGACGUACCGCUUCGAGGAGACCAAGGGCCGCGACGUCAACAAGACUGUCUUCACUCUCGACAAGAAGGCGGUCGACGAGACCUUCGAGCUCGAGAAGGCCGAUCGCUGGGUCUACGUCAGCCCGAACGGCGACGUUCGCGUCAAGGAAAAAUGGGACUACGAGCAGCUGGAUAAGGAGAAGUCCAUCGACUUCUGGGUGCUGGCCCGGUCCCCUGGAAGAGCUGAGAAGGAGCGGCAACGAAUCAUCAUCCGGAUAGCGGACGUGAACGAUGAGCCUCCCUACUUUAUCAACCGGCCGAUUCCGAUGCAGGCUGUUGUACAGUUGAAUGCCCCGGCCGGCACUCCUGUCUUCAAGUUGCAGGCCAGGGAUCCGGACACGGACCACAAUAUUCGCUACUCUAUUGUGCGCGACAGGAGUGGCAACAGGUUUGACGUGGACCCGCAUUCGGGCGAGGUGGUGACCCUUGGCAAUGCACCAUUCAUGCUGGACAAGGAGUACGUGCUAUAUGUCAAGGCUGAAGAUCUGAAUGGCCAAGUUGGAGACAGACAGCACCAAUCAACACGUGAAGAACGCCUCUCAGUGGUUGGCGGCAAGCGCCAACCUCAGUUUUAUGUGCCAUUCUAUGAGGCUGUGAUACCGGAGAAUCAAAAGAAAGACUCUGACAUCAUCGAGGUGAAGGCCAAAUCUUUUGCCGAUCGGGAAAUUCGGUACACCCUGCGAGCCCAGGGCAAGGGAGCUGGUACCUUCAACAUCGGACCUACCAGUGGAGUGGUGAAGUUGGCCAAAGAGCUUGACUAUGAAGACCUCAGGCAGCCAAAGUCUUACUCCCUGAUUGUGACCGCAACUGAAGACUCUGGAGGAUUCUCAACAUCAGUUGAACUAACUAUCAAAGUUACUGAUGUUAAUGACAACGCUCCACGAUUUGAACUGCCCGAUUACCAAGCCCACAAUGUUGAUGAAGACAUAGCAGUAGGAACAUCGAUACUUCAAGUGUCAGCAACGGAUAUGGAUACAGGCCGUAAUGCUGAGCUCACAUACUCUCUUGAUAAAGAAGAUUUCACCAUUGACAGCAGGGGUGUAGUGUACUCCAACCGGCGUCUCGACGCUGAUGUAAACAACACGUAUGUGCUGACUGUGCGUGCCACGGACAGAGGGGAGCCUCCCUUGACAGGCACUGCCACAAUACGUAUCUACACUGAAAACAAGAACGAUGAGGCACCGAAGUUCAGCCAGGAUGUCUACACACCAAAUGUAGAUGAAAAUGCUGGACCCAGCACUCUUGUAACUACUGUAGUGGCCAGUGACAAGGAUGGCGAUAACAUCCUCUUCGGAUUUGUCAACAGUGGCACUACGUCUGGCAUGUUCCAGAUUGAGGAGAGAACAGGUGUUAUUCGACUCAUCAAUGGCCCCAUACACCUAGACAAAGACAAGUAUGAGCUCAAUGUGACAGCACGAGAUGAUGGUGCCUGCUGUCGCAAUGGGGCUUUGACCCCUCAUACAAGCACAGCCCUUGUGGUUGUAUUCAUAACAGAUGUAAAUGACAACAAGCCUGUUUUUGACGAGUGCCAGACGUAUACACCAAAGGUAGAAGAGGGUGCACAGAGUGGAACAUCAGUCAUCAAGGUGAAAGCAAAAGAUCUUGACAAGGGCCACAAUGGUCAAGUACGCUAUUCCAUUGUUCAGCAGCCUAAUCAAAAAGGCACGAAGUUCAGUGUCGAUGAGCUAACUGGAGAAAUCAGGACAAACAAGGUUUUCGACCGGGAAGGUGAUGAUGGCCGCUUUGUUAGUGUCACAGUAAAGGCAACGGAUCGUGGUAGCCCGCCCUUGGAAGGAGUUUGUUCAUUCAAAGUGGAAAUAACGGAUAUCAACGACAACCCGCCUCUAUUUGACAGACAAGAGUAUAGAGAAAAUGUGAAGCAGGAUACGCAGGUUGGGAUUCACAUCCUGAGAGUUUCUGCUUCUGAUGAAGAUGCAGAUAAUAAUGGUGCCAUUGUCUACAAUCUGACAGCACCUUAUGACCCUGAUCACCUGGCCUAUUUUUCCAUCAACCCAGACUCUGGCUGGAUAAGCCUGCAAAAGGCCCUUGAUCGUGAUCAAUAUCAGCUACGAGCCAUUGCACUGGAUAAAGGUGUUCCUCAACACCAAGCAACGGUAGAAGUCAUCAUUGAUGUGGUUGACAGGGCUAACAAUCCUCCCAUAUGGGACCAGCCUGUGUAUGGUCCCAUAUUUAUCAAGGAGAACCUCGAAGUCGGCAGCCGCGUCAUUUCUAUCAAAGCUAGAUCUGGAAUUCCAGAGAAUCCUGAUGUGUUCUACACGCUGAUGAAAGGAAGUACUGAGCAGACCAACAAGAAGGACACUUUCUAUUUGAACCAGAAGGUGGAGAAUGGCCACACAGUAGCAGAGCUGGUGGUCAAUUAUCCUCUUGAUUAUGAACGCAUCCAGCAGUACAAUCUCACCGUUCGGGUUGAGAACAAUGGCAUCCAACAGUUGGCAUCUGAAGCAACUGUCUACAUAGUCCUUGAGGACGUCAACGAUGAGAUCCCCCUCUUUAUAGAGCGAGAGCAAGAGACUGUGCUCGAAGGUUUGCCUGCGGGGACCAAGGUGACUACGGUCCAGGCACAAGACAAGGACGGCACCUACCCCAACAAUAAGGUUUACUAUGAUAUAGAAUCUCGAGACCAUGGUGACAAGUACUUUUCUAUCGACAAGGAUUCUGGAGACAUCUUUACAAGAGUAGAGUUUGACAGGGAGGAAAAGAUGGCCUAUGCAAUUUUGGUUCGGGCUGAAGAUGGUGCUCCAUCGGCGAGGCCUCACAUGACAGACAAUCGGCCUAACUCAGUGACCAAGUACAUCCGCAUUGGAAUCGGCGACAAGAACGACAACCCGCCGUACUUCGGCCAGGCACUCUACGAGGCUGAGGUAAACGAGGACGAGGAUGUGCAGCACACUGUCAUCACGGUCACUGCCAAGGACAAGGACGAAUCCUCGAGGAUACGCUACGAGAUCACCCAGGGGAACAUAGGAGGAGCGUUUGCGGUGAAAAAUGAGACUGGCGCCAUCUACGUGGCAGGCCCGCUCGACUACGAGACCAGGAAAGAGUUUAACUUGACACUGGUGGCAUCGGAUACCCUAUUUGAGGGCAGCACCACAGUUCUUAUCCACGUCAAAGAUGUCAACGAUCUUCCACCUGUUUUUGGCCAAUCCUCGUACGUGACCACCAUCGAAGAGGAGGUCUCCCACAAUUUGCCAAUGAAAAUUAUGACGGUGACAGCAACUGAUGGCGACAAGGACAGAGAGUCCUUGAUAGUUUACUUUCUGACGGGUCAAGGUGUUGAUGAAGACCCUGGUAACAGCAAGUUCGCAAUCAACACAACCACUGGAGAGAUAUAUGUACUAAAACCAUUGGACAGGGACCUUCCACAUGGGCGUUCCCAGUGGCGCUUCACUGUCUUUGCGGAGGAUGAAGGGGGCAACGGUUUGGUGGGCUUUGCGGACGUUCUCGUCAACCUCAAGGACGUCAAUGAUAAUGCCCCCUUCUUCCCAUCAGCAAUUUACACUGGCAAUGUCACAGAAAAUGGAACAGCUGGUAUGACUGUCAUGACAAUGACUGCUACAGACUAUGACGAUCCCAACGAAGGCAACAAUGCAAGACUUGCUUAUUCCAUCGAGCAAAAUCAGGUUAAUGAAAACGGGGAACUCAUUUUCACCAUCGAUGAAGAAACCGGUGUUAUCUCAACAGCAGUCUGCUGCUUAGAUCGUGAGACAAACCCAGAGUACACCAUCAAAGUAGUGGCAGUUGACGGUGGAGGGCUCAAAGGUACCGGGACCGCCACAAUCAAGAUCAAAGAUAUCAAUGACAUGCCGCCAGAGUUUACCAAAAAAGACUGGUUUGUAGAUGUUGAAGAAACUGAAGCAGACAAUAUUCCUGAGAACCCAAUCUUGGUUGUAUCAGUCAACGAUGGAGAUUUACUAGAAACUAAUCGGUUUAGCUACAAAGUUAUUGACAACACAUUUGGCUCUGAUAAAUUCACUAUGGUCACCAAUUCUGAUGGAACUGGAUCACUGAAGAUUGCCAAGCCUCUUGACUAUGAGGAUUUGCAGCAACGGUUUGGCUUCAAUAUCACUAUUCAAGUUAGCGACAAUGGUGGUGAAUCCACUGAUCCGUACCAUGCGGACUAUGCUAAAGUGAAAGUCAGAGUUAAGGACAUAAAUGACAACAAACCAGAGUUUGAACGUCCUAACAUUGAAGUGUCAGUCCCAGAGAACUCCACUGUUGGCUCAAGUCUUGCAACAUUCAAAGCCACAGAUGCUGACCAAGGCGGAAAGUCACGUGUCAGCUACAUGAUUGACCGUUCGUCUGACAAGAAGCGACAGUUCAAGAUUAAUCCUAAUGGUGUUGUUGAAAUUCAGCGAACACUUGACAGAGAGGACAUUCCGAGACAUCAAGUCAAGAUUCUGGCUAUUGAUGAUGGUGUGCCUUCACGGACAGCAACCGCAACAUUGACUGUCGUAGUUAGUGACAUCAACGACAACCCACCCAGAUUCCAGUAUGACUACAGGCCAGUCAUUCCAGAGCACACACCUCCCCAGAAAGUGCAAGAGAUUUUGGCCACUGAUGAUGACGAUCGUUCUAAAAACAACGGCCCUCCAUUUACUUUCCGCAUGGAUCCCAAUGCCCCAGAGCUUAUUCAGCAGUUCUUCAGAGUGGAACAUGACCCAACUGGUGCGAAUGGAGAUGGUAUGGCUGUGGUGCGAUCUCGAGAAACAUUUGACCGAGAGACGCAGAAGGAAUAUUUGGUUCCCAUUCUUAUCAAGGACAAUGGAAACCCAUCUCUCACGGGGACGUCUACUCUCACUGUCAUUAUUGGAGAUGUUAAUGACAACCGCAUGCACCCUGGCAGCAAAAGCAUCUUUGUGUACAACUUCAAGGGGGAGUCUCCACCAACAAAAAUUGGACGCAUUCAUGUUGAGGACCUGGACGAUUGGGACUUGCCUGAUAAGACAUUCUUUUGGGAGAAUAAUAAUGCUCAUCCUAACUUCGACAUGGAUGGCCACACAGGCAUGAUCACUAUGCUCAACUCAACAGGAGCUGGCACCUAUCAUUUACGCUUCUUAGUGUACGACCGUAUGCAUACAAUGGAUGCCCAUGCCAACGUGACAGUAACUGUCAAAGAAAUCCCUGAGGAAGCCAUCUACAAUUCUGGCUCCAUACGCGUCACUGGCAUUACUGAUGAAGAUUUUAUAAGGGUUUGGGACUGGAAAAAGCAACGACAAGUGAAAAGCAAAUAUGAAAUCUUUCGAGAUCUGAUUGCUGAGCGAAUCAAGACAAAGCCGUAUAAUGUCGACAUCUUCAGCGUCAUCCUCAAGCAGUCACGCCCACCUAUAACUGAUAUACGGUUCUCUGCUCAUGGUUCUCCAUAUUACAAGGCCAGUUUACUAAAUGGUGUGAUUGCAGUGAAUCGGCGAGAGAUUGAAGAGAAAGUGGGCAUUAACAUUACUAUGGUGGGCAUUGAUGAGUGCCUCCUGGAAAAUCACAAUUGUGAAGGUAGCUGCACUAAUGUGCUUAUGAUUGAUCGUAACCCUGUAAUGGUGAACGCUAAUCGAACAUCCUUUGUGGGAGUGAAUACUUGGGUGAAGGCAAAGUGUACGUGUGGUGCUCGAGACUUUUCCGACAUCGAAUCCUGCCGCAAAAGACCUCCUCCAUGCUACAACAAUGGCCGUUGUGUCGACACAUAUACAGGAAUCAGCUGUCGGUGCCAGUCUGGAUUCCAUGGACCACAGUGUCAACAAACUACACGACAUUUCAAUGGCAAGGGCUGGGCUUGGUUCCCUCCUUUACAGCAGUGUGAAGACUCCCAUCUGAGCCUAGAGUUUAUGACAGAGCGCCCAACCGGACUACUGUUGUACAAUGGGCCUAUCUCCCGGCCUGACCCAGGGGAAAUAGUCAUUCAAGACUUCAUUUCUCUGGAACUCAAUGCAGGAAGGCCUAGGCUGCUUUUAGACUUCGGUUCUGGCACAGCAGAACUCUUUGUUGAUGUUGAGGAGCAUCUCAACAAUGGCAAUUGGCACCGACUGGAUGUGUUUUGGGACCGACAGUCUGUACGAUUAAUGGUUGACAACUGCAUGCUAGCACGAACUCACGAGGGAAAUCAAACCAUUGAUCGAUCCCGUUGUGAGAAUAGCACUCAGGUGCCGGAGUUCAACGAGUUCCUGAACGUAAAUACUCCACUUCAGUUGGGCGGAACUCAUGUUGGGGGCAAAGACCUUGGUGCAUAUGCUUGGCGGCAUCGACAUACCACAGAGGGAUUUCAAGGCUGUAUUAAAAAUGUUGUCCAUAACAGUGAGAUGUAUGACCUUGGCUCUCCUGGAAGCUCAUACAACAGUGUGACUGGCUGUCCUCCUGCUGAGAGCUCGUGCAGUGAGGCAGCACUACUUCACCAGUCCUGUGGUCAUGGCCACUGCCUGGGUACCUACAAAGGAGCAGAAUGUGUUUGUGACCCUGGCUGGCAUGGGCCAAAUUGUGACCGGGAAACACAGUCCAAGAUGUUCCAACAAAGCAGCUACAUCAAGUACGCACUGCCAUUUGAUCCUCAUCCGUACAAGACUGACAUCCAACUGCAGUUUCGUACGCGUCAAAAGCACGGAGAGCUUUUCCGCAUCACAAGCAAACAUGGACGGGAGUACUGCAUUCUUGAGAUCCGGGACAAGAAGCUGCGCUUUCGAUUCAACCUCGACCGAAGUCGCUCCUCUGAAGAGCGUGAGCUGUGGCUUCCAUGGGUGUGGGUGAAUGAUGGCCAGUGGCAUACAGUGCGUGCCCUGCGCUAUGGUGCUUCAGCCAGCCUGGCUCUAGAUGGAGGCAGUGGGCGGCGCUUCAACGAGCUUUUGGAUUGGCAAAGUCCCCACCAGCACAUGUGGGUUGAGAAGCAGAAUGUCAUUGCAGGUGGAGAUGUCCAGUAUGUUGGUCCUGGUGUGACUGUUGUUGACAACGAUUAUCAAGAAGGCUGUAUGAAUGACAUCCGGCUGGAUCAACACUAUUUACCAAUGGAGAGUGGUUCUGAAUAUGCAGCUGUAGUCGAAUGGCGCAACCUAAUUGAUGGAUGUCCAUCCAACAACCCCUGCCAUGGUAUCAGUUGUCCACGACCCUUCGUUUGUGUAGACCUGUGGAUGCUCCAUGAAUGCAGGUGUUCCCCUGGCUUUGCUGUAACGGAAAAUGGCAAGAACUGCACUGAUGCGGAUGAGUGCCUGACGGAGCCGUGUCUCAAUGGCGGCACCUGCAUGAACCGGCCACAUGGCGAGGGCUUCUACUGCCUAUGCCCGGACGGUUUUGGGGGCGACCUGUGUGGCGCUUUGCGACAAGAGAAGAUAAUGCGUCUCAGUAUGGCUGCCUUGGCUGCCAUCCUGGUCUGUCUGCUCAACAUUCUCAGUGUGUGGAAGGUUUCACACCAACGGAAGACCGACUUGACUGUGAGGACAAGGACGAGUGCCUGGACGAGCCAUGUGGUUACACGGGUCAGUGCACCAAUCUGCCCCAUGGCCAAGGCCACACAUGCCUCUGCCAUGAAAGCCUCGAGUGCCACAACUGCAGCUGCUUUGACGUUGGUGCUGGUGCACGCAUGACCAACACAUCCCUUGCCCUUGGGCUGGAAGCCCUGCUCAUUAUCCUGGCCUGUCUAGUGGUGUACCUGCUUUUGGUCUUGGUGAUUGUGGCAUACACACGGAGUCGGCGCUCAGAUCAGAAAUUUGGCCAUGGUGGAGUGGAUGAUGAUGUACGAGAGAACAUCAUUAGCUAUGAUGAUGAAGGUGGUGGAGAAGACGACAUGAAUGCUUAUGACAUAACACCACUGCGAAUACCAGUUGAUGCAUCUGGUAUGCAGAUUGGUGCUAAGCCUGGUCCAGAGAAAGCACCAACUCUGCAGACGGAAGUGCGUGUGC